Non-coding RNA from Sus scrofa (pig), 426 nucleotides. NCBI's taxonomy places the organism in Eukaryota, Metazoa, Chordata, Mammalia, Artiodactyla, Suidae. The record is from RefSeq and is a predicted model, not a curated record.
AAACAAAAAACAAUGAUUCAUUAAAAUUAACACUUUAAAAUGGUUCCUUCUUAAAAGGCUCAAUCACAGCCAUUUCCAGUGUUCUUGAAAAUUCCAUAAAAGUUCAGGAAGCUGACAAAUGCUUCUUUAAUUCCUUUCUCCACAGGAAGCCUGUUAGAAAUAUCCUAAAAGGUAAUGGGGACCAUCCUCAAGGGUUUGAGUAGUAUUUGUACAUCCCAUUUACACUGACAAAGAUUAAAGAUACAUCCAGAUUGCCAGACUGCUGGGAAAUACAACAGGAAUAUCCAGCAAAGAAGAAAAUGACCAGUGGCCCAGGAUCAAGAUGAAAGACACCAAGUGGAGGCAAAGGAGCAAAGAGGAUGGAGAAAGAACAAAGGGACAGCACUGAAAGCACGCAGAAAGGGACAGUGAUACAAAAAAGAUCUU